CGGGGACUGGCUCAACGGUAGAGCGCACGGUUCGGGACCGUGAGGCUCCGGGUUCGAUUCCCGGGUCCCCGACCA
RNAcentral lists this transfer RNA (75 nucleotides) under Candidatus Woesebacteria bacterium RIFCSPHIGHO2_01_FULL_38_9. RNAcentral describes it as "tRNA-Pro". It matches the Rfam family "tRNA". Rfam says of the family: Transfer RNA (tRNA) molecules are approximately 80 nucleotides in length. Their secondary structure includes four short double-helical elements and three loops (D, anti-codon, and T loops). The record is from RNAcentral. Lineage: Bacteria; Candidatus Woeseibacteriota. RNAcentral also lists the same sequence under 1 other name.